This is a microRNA precursor of Nomascus leucogenys (northern white-cheeked gibbon), 85 nucleotides long. It matches the Rfam family "mir-544 microRNA precursor family". The record is from Rfam. Lineage: Eukaryota; Metazoa; Chordata; Mammalia; Primates; Hylobatidae.
AUCACCUGGGAUUCUUGCUAAAACGCAGAUUCUGAUUCAGGGGGCCUGAGAUUCUGCAUUUCUACAUGCUCCCAGGUGAUGGCUG